Molecule: ribosomal RNA, 254 nt
Filed under: uncultured bacterium
Lineage: Bacteria
Description: partial 16S ribosomal RNA
Rfam family: Bacterial small subunit ribosomal RNA
Source: RNAcentral
GACAGAGGUGCCGAGCGUUAGGCGGAAUCACUGGGCUUAAAGCGUGUGUAGGCGGACCGUUAAGUGUCUUGUGAAAUCCCACGGCUCAACCGUGGAACGGCUGGGCAUACUGGCGGUCUUGAGAGGCCUAGGGGCGAGCGGAACAGGCGGUGGAGCGGUGAAAUGCGUAGAUAUCGCCUGGAACGCCGACGGUGAAAACAGCUCGCUGGGGGCCUUCUGACGCUGAGACGACGAAAGCCAGGGGAGCGAACGGG